UCCGCUGCGUUCUCUGCUACAAAUACAGACUGCUCCUGCUUUCACCAGCAGUUGAGCGUUCGUCUCUUUUUGCAGAUGAGAAAUUCGGAGUAAUCUUCAACCUCGCACUGUUGUCCCAAAUCAUCCUUGAUUGGGCGACCACAGGACUGCCCGCGAGGGCCUGGCACGAUUCCGUGCCUGCAAUCGGCAUCAGAAAUUACAGGGCCUCGGGACAAUCAUGGUCGACUCGUCGGCCAUGUGUCGCCUCUGAGGGUUUCCCUAUGGAAGAGCCAUUGCGAAGAUUGUUUGGCGCUCAAAGCGUUCUCAACUUUAGUGCAAUCGCAGCGGGAUCUACCCUUUCCUCGUCCUCUGCGGAGGGUGGGAUUGGGAGGUUUCAAUUCGAUUCCGAUUACUCUGGA
This 398-nucleotide RNase P RNA is filed under the name Capronia coronata CBS 617.96. RNAcentral's name for it is "Nuclear RNase P". The stretch from base 41 to 398 matches the Rfam family "Nuclear RNase P". Rfam says of the family: Ribonuclease P (RNase P) is a ubiquitous endoribonuclease, found in archaea, bacteria and eukarya as well as chloroplasts and mitochondria. Its best characterised activity is the generation of mature 5'-ends of tRNAs by cleaving the 5'-leader elements of precursor-tRNAs. Lineage: Eukaryota; Fungi; Ascomycota; Eurotiomycetes; Chaetothyriales; Herpotrichiellaceae. The record is from Rfam by way of RNAcentral.